GCCCAUGUGGCUCAGUGGUAGAGCACUCCCUUGGUAAGGAGAGGUCGCGCGUUCGAUCCGCGCCAUGGGCACCA
Molecule: transfer RNA, 74 nt
Filed under: Piscinibacter aquaticus
Lineage: Bacteria; Pseudomonadati; Pseudomonadota; Betaproteobacteria; Burkholderiales; Sphaerotilaceae
Description: tRNA-Thr
Rfam family: tRNA
About the family: Transfer RNA (tRNA) molecules are approximately 80 nucleotides in length. Their secondary structure includes four short double-helical elements and three loops (D, anti-codon, and T loops).
Source: RNAcentral